Molecule: ribosomal RNA, 492 nt
Filed under: uncultured bacterium
Lineage: Bacteria
Description: partial 16S ribosomal RNA
Rfam family: Bacterial small subunit ribosomal RNA
Source: RNAcentral
AGUGAACGCUGGCGGUAGGCCUAACACAUGCAAGUCGAACGGCAGCACAGUAAGAGCUUGCUCUUACGGGUGGCGAGUGGCGGACGGGUGAGGAAUACAUCGGAAUCUACUUUUUCGUGGGGGAUAACGUAGGGAAACUUACGCUAAUACCGCAUACGACCUACGGGUGAAAGCAGGGGAUCUUCGGACCUUGCGCGAUUGAAUGAGCCGAUGUCGGAUUAGCUAGUUGGCGGGGUAAAGGCCCACCAAGGCGACGAUCCGUAGCUGGUCUGAGAGGAUGAUCAGCCACACUGGAACUGAGACACGGUCCAGACUCCUACGGGAGGGAACAGUGGGGAAUAUUGGACAAUGGGCGCAAGCCUGAUCCAGCCAUACCGCGUGGGUGAAGAAGGCCUUCGGGUUGUAAAGCCCUUUUGUUGGGAAAGAAGAGCAGCAGGUUAAUACCCCGCUGUUCUGACGGUACCCAAAGAAUAAGCACCGGCUAACUUCGUG